RNAcentral lists this long non-coding RNA (901 nucleotides) under Lonchura striata (white-rumped munia). RNAcentral's name for it is "domestica (Bengalese finch) lncRNA (ENSLSDG00000011852.1)". Lineage: Eukaryota; Metazoa; Chordata; Aves; Passeriformes; Estrildidae. The record is from RNAcentral.
GAAAAGUUGGGAUAUUUUACGUGAUUUGGGGUGGGAUUUAUUGGGGUGGGACUUGGAUUUUUUGGGCGAUUCGGGUGAUUUUUGGGGCGGGAUUUUGGUGCGAUUCGGAGCACUUUGGGCUGGAUUCUGGGGAUUUUGGGGCGGGAUUUUUUGUGCGAUUCGGGUGAUUUUUGGGGCGGGAUUUUUCAGAGAUUCAGGUGAUUUUUGGGGCAGGAUUUUUCGGUGAUUCGGAGCACUUUGGGCUGGAUUCGGGGGAUUUUGGGGUGGGAUUUUUUGGGCGAUUCGGGUGAUUUUGGGAUGGGAUUUUUUGGGCGAUUCGGGUGAUUUUUGGGGCGGGAUGUUUUGGCGAUUCGGGGGAUUUUGGGGUGGGAUUUUUUGGGCGAUUCGGGUGAUUUUUGGGGUGGAUUUGGGGGUUUUUUGGGCAGGAUUUUUGUGCGAUUCGGGUGAUUUUUGGGGUGGGACUUUUUGGCGAUUUGGGUGAUUUUUGGAGCAGGAUUUUUCAGCGAUUCGGGGGAUUUUUGGAGCGGGAUUUUUCAGCGAUUCGGGGGAUUUUUGGAGCGGGAUUUUUCAGCGAUUCGGGUGAUUUUUGGGGCAGGAUUUUUCAGCGAUUCGGAUGAUUUUUGGGGCAGGAUUUUGGUGCGAUUCGGAGCACUUUGGGCUGGAUUCGGGGAUUUUGGUCCCGUACCUGAUCUCGAAGUCGAUGUUGGCCUCGAAGGGCGGCGCCGGCUGCACGCCCAGCGCGCCCCAGCGCAGCCCCCGCUCCAGCAGCCGCCGCGCCGGGGCCACCAGGCGGGGCAGGGAGACCCCCACCCUGACAAAGAGCGCCUGGAGACCCCCCUGGAACCCCAAAAUACCUGCGGGGGGCAAAGGGCACCGUCACCCCAAAAAAAACCCCGAAAAA